ACACAUUGGAAAUCCAGCUAACUUUUGGCUCUUUUUGCCUGGGUGAAUAUAGGAUGUAAUCUCAUUGACCAAUGUCCCAACCAAAUAUUACUCAAUUAUGAACGUUGAAAUGACGCGGUGUGCCCAUUGGGUUGUUUUCUAAAGGUGACACCUGGAGGUGUUAAUCUCUUCUCUUAUCCUACUAUAGCCUGUUCCUAAGCCUACUGCUAAAUGGGAUGUGGCUGCUGGCAUCACAGUUGAGAAAUAAUGGAUUAGCCCUUUUAGAUAUCAGACACAACAAACCCAGGUGUUUUAUGCUCUCCAAGCUAAUUUAUGCCUCUCCUCUCUUUUGCCUUUGUCCAUAGUGACCAUGGAGCAUGGUAAUACCCCUACCCUGCAUCUCUACACUUCAGUCACUAUGGAUUAUGAUUGGUUGCCUACUACUAGGCAUUCUUUAAAUCAGUGGUUCCCAAAAAGGUGGGUCACCAAGAGGACAACUCCCAUGUUCUGAAGCAGGGCUUUCUUCACCAGGCUCUGUUAGACAUGUACCAAUGGGCCUUUGACUGAGUUGAAGAGAGGAGGUCUGCUGCAGGGACAGCGGAUACGUCUCAGUGCAGGUUUUACCCCCUCCUUUUACCCCCCCCCCCCCUCCAUAACAGUACAAUCCAGCCUGGGCCAAGCUCAUCCAAGGGGCUGUUCAGGCCUGUCCUGUCCCCAACUCAAAAUUGUGUACACGGUCACCAGUAUGGGCCUACAGCGUCUCUCCACCACUGACCAGCCCCCAGAUGGUCUACCACAUUAUAGUCCAACCCACUCCAGGCCCAGUGCAGAACCUGUAGACCAGUGCAUCAGACUCAACUGCCUGGAUCCACAGAGACCACCUUCCCCAUUAUCAAUGUGUUUAUCUGUACCACCCUCUCCGGGCAUAUACUGGCCAACCACAGAGCUGAGGCCGAUCCAGUUACCGGGCAGAACAUCAGGCUCCCAGAAAACCAUGCCCUGUCAUCUGCUGAAAAACUGCCACUGGAACAUCUUUUCCAGUUCUGUUCACACGUCAAACACUAUCAGAGACAGAGAUUACAUGCAGAAUUGACCCUCUCCUCCAUCCCAAUGUUCCCAUAGCGUGGUGGAGAUAACAGACCUGCCACUCAGCAAUUCACAAUGGACUACUUUAUCAAUGGACUACUUUAUCUGCCAGUGAAGCGCAGCUAAACGGGGGAAUCCAUUUCCUACAGUAACUGACUCCUUCUGUGGCCACCGUAUGACACUAAUGUAAAUAACUGUUGACAUACCUACCUGUCCUUAUAGCUGCUGGGUGACCUCUCCCUGAACUGUAUAACCAUAACACCUGACUUUUAAACUGGGGUAGUUACUGAUUGUGUGUGUGUGUGUGUGUGUGUGUGUGUGUGUGUGUGUGUGUGUUGUGUGGUUUUGUGUGUGUGUGUGUUCACCCUGAAGAAGGCACAGUGAUGGGGAAACGUUUGUGUUUUACCCAAUAAAUCACCGGGAGUUUAAAUAUAGAGCAUGCAAAUCUCUUUGUUUUUAUAGUUUACAGUUUAUUUGCCGUUAGUCAGCACCUCUACGCUAAAUCAUUUUCUCUGGGUCUGCACCAGCUCAUGCUUUUUAUUAGGUAUGGUACAGUAACAUGGGUUAUCAUGACUUCAGUCCAGACUAUAGGGAAGCUGUCAGUCUUUAAAACCUUUCCCUCUGCAGUGGAUGAGGAGUUGGAGGCCACUGAGGUCAUGAUGUGAAAGGAAGCUAUGAUGAGCAAAUACCAGUGUGUUAUGUUGGCCGAGUACGAGGUGGAUCUUAAAGAGAACGUAAACACACACACAGAGUAGCAACGGCCCUUCAAAUUGUUCAAAGGUUUUCAAAAUCAUUCUAAUAAAUGCAACAGUUGGACAGUGGAUGAAGAUACUACUACAUAUAGAUGAAAAUCCAUCAGAUUUUUGCACAUAACACGUUGUACUGGCACGGACAAAUAUCAAAUGGAGUUCAUGGAUUUUGGUGGGAAUUUAGGUAAACAAUUUAUUGUAUAAUUUCACUUUUU
RNAcentral lists this long non-coding RNA (2029 nucleotides) under Oncorhynchus kisutch (coho salmon). RNAcentral describes it as "lncRNA (ENSOKIG00005000357.1)". Lineage: Eukaryota; Metazoa; Chordata; Actinopteri; Salmoniformes; Salmonidae. The record is from RNAcentral.